This 575-nucleotide ribosomal RNA is filed under the name Vanrija albida. RNAcentral's name for it is "partial large subunit ribosomal RNA". It matches the Rfam family "Eukaryotic large subunit ribosomal RNA", at positions 62 to 629 of the family's 3401-position model. Lineage: Eukaryota; Fungi; Basidiomycota; Tremellomycetes; Trichosporonales; Trichosporonaceae. The record is from RNAcentral.
AAACUAACAAGGAUUCCCCUAGUAGCGGCGAGUGAAGCGGGAAGAGCUCAAAUUUGUAAUCUGGCGUCUUUCAGGCGUCCGAGUUGUAAUCUAUAGAAGUGUUUUCCGUGCUGGACCAUGUCCAAGUCCCUUGGAACAGGGUAUCAAAGAGGGUGACAAUCCCGUACUUGAUAUGGCCACCAGUGCUCUGUGAUACACUUUCUACGAGUCGAGUUGUUUGGGAAUGCAGCUCAAAAUGGGUGGUAAAUUCCAUCUAAAGCUAAAUAUUGGCGAGAGACCGAUAGCGAACAAGUACCGUGAGGGAAAGAUGAAAAGCACUUUGGAAAGAGAGUUAAACAGUACGUGAAAUUGUUGAAAGGGAAACGAUUGAAGUCAGUCGUGUUCAUUGGACUCAGCCGGUUCUUCCGGUCUAUUUCCUUUGAACGGGUCAACAUCAGUUUUGUCCGGUGGAUAAAGGCAGAGAGAAAGUGGCUCCCUCGGGAGUGUUAUAGCUUUUUGUCACAUACACUGGAGGAGACUGAGGACUGCAGCUCGCCUUUUGGCCGGGGUUCGCCCACGUCGAGCUAGGAUGUGAC